GUUGUUUAUUUCUAUGUCAUUUUUUCUCUUGUGGAGAACUGUCUCUUUGGCAAUCCUACCACAUCUUCUUUUUUUGUAAUCAAUGAAAUUUUGUAAAAGAUUUAAUGACUGGAGAAUUUCAGAAAAGGUAUCAAAAGUCAAAGAUACCUUGGGACAGGACACUUGUUUUAUAGCACGGCUCAUCCUUUUCCCCCAAAAUUCCCC
This 204-nucleotide long non-coding RNA is filed under the name Mytilus galloprovincialis (Mediterranean mussel). The record is from RNAcentral. Lineage: Eukaryota; Metazoa; Mollusca; Bivalvia; Mytilida; Mytilidae.